CUCCGUGCCACAAAAUGAGUGACAAAAUGUUAUAAAAACCUGGCCAGAUAAUUUAAAGCCAUCAGUCUCAAGUCAAAGUCCAGAGGCUCCAAGUCAUUUUAUUUAGGAAAAACCUACCCCUCUUGUUUCUGCAUUGCUUGCUCUUUGGGGGUUUUUAGUAUAGGUAUUUGUGAAGCACUUUGUGACAACUGCCGAUUAAAAAAAAAAAAGAGGCAUUUAUAAAAUACAUUUGAUUAAUAAGAGUAAUGGCAGUUGUAAGUGCAAGCUAGCUAUAUCUUUACAUUAGUACCGUCUAUCAUGACUGUUGGUCCUGAUCUGUUGGGACUACCUUGGAGACGUUGACGUGUCCUGAGAUCCAGCACUUGAGCCUUAUCCAUAUAUCUACAGUGUGCUUAGCGCUGGAGAACCGACGGUGCCUUACAGCCGGUCCCCGUCUUGGCUUCUCAGCUGAUGGUAUGGACAACAGCUGGCUCCAUGUGAACUACAAUCCCGAUGCUCUGUUUUUAGCGGUUUUUGUAACGUCGAUAAUCCUCGUUUACGAUACGGUUUUGGAAACGUUUGGAAUUUAAAAAGAUUCACCCCUUUUUGAAUGUUUGUUUGUUUUUGUUGAUCUUCGAUUCCCUAUCAAUUUUCCAGAGAGACAGUUAGUGAAUUCAUCUUAAAGUAUCUAGGUAAGACAACUACGUAUCACUGUCAUAGUACAGAGGGUAGUGCGUACGGCCCAGUACAUCAUUGGGGGCAAGCUUCCUGCCAUCCAGGACCUAUUUACUAGUCAGAGGAAAGCCCAAAAAAUUGUCAGACUCCAGUCACCCAAGUCAUAGACUGUUCUCUCUGCUAUCGCACGGCAAGCGCUACCGGAGCGCCAAGUCUAGGUCCAAAAGGCUCCUUAACAGCUUCUACCCCCAAGCCAUAAGACUGCUGAACAGCUAAUCAAAUUGUAUCCCGGACUAUCUACAUUGAUACUGUUUGUUUUUACACUGCUGCUACUGUUUAUUAUCUAUGUCACUUUACCUCUACCUUCAUGUACAGAUUACCUCAACAAACCUGUACUCCCCCACAUUGACUCGGUACCAGUACCCGCUGUAUAUAGCCUUGUUAUUGUUUUGUAAUUUUGUGUUACUCUUUAUUUUAUUUUUUACUUUUAGUUUAUUUAGUAAAUAUUUUCUUAACUCUAUUUCUUGAACUGCAUUGUGGGUUAGGGGCUUCUAAGUAACCAUUUCACGGUAAGGUCUUCACCUGUUUUUAUUCAGUGCAUGUUUAGUAAGAAUUAGAUUUAAUAAGCAAAACUAACCCACAAUGUCAGUGCUAUUCUAUCAUGGUCUCCACACACAGCCCUCACAUUUUCAGUCAUUUAGCAGAUCCAGAGCAACUUACAGUAGUGAGUGCAUACAUUUUCAUACUGGCGUCCUGUGGGAAUUGAACCCACAACCCUGACAAUGUAAGUGUCAUGCUCUACCAGUUGAGCCACACACAGAGCACCAGUGUUUCAGACCCUAAAGUGCUGCUAGUUGUCUUUCAAAGUAGCCUAAACUCAGUGUUACUGUUAUAUUCACCAACAAAUACAUUACAACUUUAUUGUCCUUGUUACAAUGAAAAAUGUAAAUUUGAACCUUUUUAUGUGGUCACCUAUCCUGUGCUGCCCUCUACAGGAAGGAAGUGUAAGUGUCCUCUCCUGUGCUGCCCUCUACAGGAAGGAAGCAUAAGUGUCCUCUCCUGUGCUGCCCUAUACAGGAAGGAAGCGAAGAGUAAGUGUCCUCUCCUGUGCUGCCCUCUACAGGAAGCGAAGGAAGAGUAAGUGUCCUCUCCUGUGCUGCCCUCUAUAGGAAGCGUAAGUGUCCUCUCCUAUGCUGCCCUAUACAGGAAGCAUAAGUCUGUAGAGUUAGAGGAUGUGAAGUUCCAUCAGUGUGUCUGUCUGUCCCGCUUUGAGAACGACCGUACCUUCUCCCUUGAGCAAGGCACUUUGAGAACGACCGUACCUUCUCCCUUGAGCAAGGCACGUUGAGAACGACCGUACCUUCUCCCUUGAGCAAGGCACUUUGAGAACGACCGUACCUCCUCCCUUGAGC
Molecule: long non-coding RNA, 2066 nt
Filed under: Salmo salar (Atlantic salmon)
Lineage: Eukaryota; Metazoa; Chordata; Actinopteri; Salmoniformes; Salmonidae
Description: lncRNA (ENSSSAG00000094093.1)
Source: RNAcentral